GUCUCUCGGCAACGGAUAUCUCGGCUCUCGCAUCGAUGAAGAACGUAGAGAAAUGCGAUACCUGGUGUGAAUUGCAGAAUCCCACGAACCAUCGAGUCUUUGAACGCAAGUUGCGCCCGAGGCCACUCGGCCGAGGGCACGCCUGCCUGGGCGUCA
RNAcentral lists this ribosomal RNA (156 nucleotides) under Triticum aestivum (bread wheat). RNAcentral's name for it is "rRNA 5_8S_rRNA". It matches the Rfam family "5.8S ribosomal RNA". From Rfam's summary of the family: 5.8S ribosomal RNA (5.8S rRNA) is a component of the large subunit of the eukaryotic ribosome. It is transcribed by RNA polymerase I as part of the 45S precursor that also contains 18S and 28S rRNA. The record is from RNAcentral. Lineage: Eukaryota; Viridiplantae; Streptophyta; Magnoliopsida; Poales; Poaceae.